This is a long non-coding RNA of Haliotis rubra (blacklip abalone), 918 nucleotides long. RefSeq lists it as uncharacterized. NCBI's taxonomy places the organism in Eukaryota, Metazoa, Mollusca, Gastropoda, Lepetellida, Haliotidae. The transcript has 2 exons. The record is from RefSeq and is a predicted model, not a curated record.
UGCAAUUGGUAGCUGACAAGGAAAUCGUGCUGCGUAUCAGGUACAUUAGGCCGUCCGACAGUUUGACCGCUAGUGCAUUGCUGGGACGGAAGAGUGUACAAUCUGAGGCUAUACAGCACCACGGCUUCAUCCCCGCAAACAUCGACCUGACCAUCAUCGUGACUCCAACGGCUUUCAAUAUUUCUCUCAGUGGGGGAGCGACUUUCACGUAUCCAUAUGAAUCCUCCCUAAGGAACGUGAAGCUCAUCAAUGUAUCUUCAGGCACCAAGAUAGGGUCUCUGACCGUCCUUAAUAAAGAGUAAUAAUCACCCUGGUGUGUAAAGCCUCAUGCAAAUGAAGUGGUUCAGUGGGUAAAGCGUUCGCUAGUCAAGUCUAAAGACGGUUUAGAUUCUCAACAGUAAUAUUUGCUGUUCUCAAAGGUGUACGCCACCAUUUUACUAGCAGCGGCGUCAAACUACACUCAUUCACUGUAUAUUUAACUGUACUCAUUCACCAAAGUUGUUCAUAUUCCUGACCAUCGACUUACAUGGUACCAAGGGACAGAAGGUGUACUGAGUAUUUUAUUCUUCUUUUUGUAAACUGAAAAAUGUUGCCUAAUUUGAUUUUGUCUGUUUUACUGUCACUCAUCACUCCAACAGCUUGUUUAUCCGUGCCAGUGUAAUUUUGUGUAAAACUAAUUUGGUUCAGUGAGGACGAGGGUAAUAAUAUUUAUGUAUUCGAACCUCGUGAGGCCUCCUGUGAUUUGCAAUGGUGGAAAUUUGUCUCGAAAAAUGCAAAUAUGUACUUUUACAAAGUUAAGCUAUCUGAGGUACGUUCCUCAGUCUAUUGAUAAGGGUACUGUUUGGUGCCACGAACCCAAGGUCGCUGUAUAAGAGUCAUGCAAUCCGCACUUAAUAAAGAUGUAUGUUGUUUUCAAAA